Molecule: ribosomal RNA, 457 nt
Filed under: uncultured bacterium
Lineage: Bacteria
Description: bacterial SSU rRNA
Rfam family: Bacterial small subunit ribosomal RNA
Source: RNAcentral
UAGUCCACACCGUAAACGCUGUCUACUAGCUGUAUGUUUUUUAUAAGAUGUGUGGCGUAGCUAACGCGCUAAGUAGACCGCCUGGGGAGUACGGCCGCAAGGUUAAAACUCAAAUGAAUUGACGGGGCCCGCACAAGCGGUGGAGCAUGUGGUUUAAUUCGAUGCAAUGCGAAGAACCUUACCUACACUUGACAUGCAGAGAACUUUCCAGAGAUGGAUUGGUGCCUUCGGGAACUCUGACACAGGUGCUGCAUGGCUGUCGUCAGCUCGUGUCGUGAGAUGUUGGGUUAAGUCCCGCAACGAGCGCAACCCUUGUCCUUAGUUGCCAGCAUUCAGUUGGGCACUCUAAGGAGACUGCCGGUGACAAACCGGGAGGAAGGUGGGGGACGACGUCAAGGUCAUCAUGGCCCUUACGUGUAGGGGCUACACACGUGCUACAAUGGCAGAUACAAAGGGG